Molecule: ribosomal RNA, 460 nt
Filed under: uncultured bacterium
Lineage: Bacteria
Description: partial 16S ribosomal RNA
Rfam family: Bacterial small subunit ribosomal RNA
Source: RNAcentral
CCUACGGGAGGCAGCAGUGAGGAAUAUUGGUCAAUGGACGAGAGUCUGAACCAGCCAAGUAGCGUGAAGGAUGACUGCCCUAUGGGUUGUAAACUUCUUUUAUAAAGGAAUAAAACGAGGCACGCGUGCCUUUUUGCAUGUACUUUAUGAAUAAGGAUCGGCUAACUCCGUGCCAGCAGCCGCGGUAAUACGGAGGAUCCGAGCGUUAUCCGGAUUUAUUGGGUUUAAAGGGAGCGUAGAUGGGUUGUUAAGUCAGUUGUGAAAGUUUGCGGCUCAACCGUAAAAUUGCAAUUGAUACUGGCAGGCUGGAGUGCAGUUGAGGUAGGCGGAAUGCGUGGUGUAGCGGUGAAAUGCUUAGAUAUCACGAAGAACCCCGAUUGCGAAGGCAGCUUACUAAGCUGUGACUGACAUUGAUGCUCGAAAGUGUGGGUAUCAAACAGGAUUAGAUACCCCGGUAGUC